GGGGAAUAUUGCACAAUGGGGGAAACCCUGAUGCAGCGACGCCGCGUGAGUGAAGAAGUAUUUCGGUAUGUAAAGCUCUAUCAGCAGGGAAGAAAAUGACGGUACCUGACUAAGAAGCCCCGGCUAACUACGUGCCAGCAGCCGCGGUAAUACGUAGGGGGCAAGCGUUAUCCGGAUUUACUGGGUGUAAAGGGAGCGUAGACGGUCAAGCAAGUCAGAAGUGAAAUCUAUGGGCUCAACCCAUAAACUGCUUUCAAAACUGUUUUUCUUGAGUAGUGCAGAGGUAGGCGGAAUUCCCGGUGUAGCGGUGGAAUGCGUAGAUAUCGGGAGGAACACCAGUGGCGAAGGCGGCCUACUGGGCACCAACUGACGCUGAGGCUCGAAAGUGUGGGUAGCAAACAGGAUUAGAUACCCUGGUAGUCCACACCGUAAACGAUGAUUACUAGGUGUUGGAGGAUUGAACCCUUCAGUGCCGCAGUUAACACAAUAAGUAAUCCACCUGGGGAGUACGACCGCAAGGUUGAAACUCAAAGGAAUUGACGGGGGCCCGCACAAGCAGUGGAGUAUGUGGUUUAAUUCGACGCAACGCGAAGAACCUUACCAAGUCUUGACAUCCCUUGACAGGCAUAGAAAUAUGUUUUCUCUUCGGAGCAAGGAGACAGGUGGUGCAUGGUUGUCGUCAGCUCGUGUCGUGAGAUGUUGGGUUAAGUCCCGCAACGAGCGCAACCCUUAUGGUCAGUUACUACGCAAGAGGACUCUGGCCAGACUGCCGUUGACAAAACGGAGGAAGGUGGGGAUGACGUCAAAUCAUCAUGCCCUUUAUGACUUGGGCUACACACGUACUACAAUGGCGUUAAACAAAGAGAAGCGAGACCGCGAGGUGGAGCAAAACUCAGAAACAACGUCCCAGUUCGGACUGCAGGCUGCAACUCGCCUGCACGAAGUCGGAAUUGCUAGUAAUCGUGGAUCAGCAUGCCACGGUGAAUACGUUCCCG
Molecule: ribosomal RNA, 995 nt
Filed under: uncultured bacterium
Lineage: Bacteria
Description: bacterial SSU rRNA
Rfam family: Bacterial small subunit ribosomal RNA
Source: RNAcentral